Molecule: ribosomal RNA, 466 nt
Filed under: uncultured organism
Description: partial 16S ribosomal RNA
Rfam family: Bacterial small subunit ribosomal RNA
Source: RNAcentral
ACGGGAGGCAGCAGUGGGGAAUUUUGGACAAUGGGCGAAAGCCUGAUCCAGCAAUGCCGCGUGAGUGAAGAAGGCCUUCGGGUUGUAAAGCUCUUUUGUCAGGGAAGAAACGGUGAAAGCUAAUAUCUUUUGCUAAUGACGGUACCUGAAGAAUAAGCACCGGCUAACUACGUGCCAGCAGCCGCGGUAAUACGUAGGGUGCAAGCGUUAAUCGGAAUUACUGGGCGUAAAGCGUGCGCAGGCGGUUUUGUAAGUCUGAUGUGAAAUCCCCGGGCUCAACCUGGGAAUUGCAUUGGAGACUGCAAGGCUAUAAUCUGGCAGAGGGGGGUAGAAUUCCACGUGUAGCAGUGAAAUGCGUAGAUAUGUGGAGGAACACCGAUGGCGAAGGCAGCCCCCUGGGUCAAGAUUGACGCUCAUGCACGAAAGCGUGGGGAGCAAACAGGAUUAGAAACCCGGGUAGUCCCAU